RNAcentral lists this ribosomal RNA (497 nucleotides) under uncultured bacterium. RNAcentral describes it as "partial 16S ribosomal RNA". It matches the Rfam family "Bacterial small subunit ribosomal RNA", at positions 28 to 507 of the family's 1533-position model. The record is from RNAcentral.
GAUGAACGCUGGCGGCGUGCCUAAUACAUGCAAGUCGAGCGAACAGACGAGGAGCUUGCUCCUUCGACGUUAGCGGCGGACGGGUGAGUAACACGCAGGUAACCUACCUAUAAGACUGGGAUAACUUCGGGAAACCGGAGCUAAUACCGGAUAAUAUUUCGAACCGCAUGGUUCGAUAGUGAAAGAUGGCUUUGCUAUCACUUAUAGAUGGACCUGCGCCGUAUUAGCUAGUUGGUAAGGUAACGGCUUACCAAGGCAACGAUACGUAGCCGACCUGAGAGGGUGAUCGGCCACACUGGAACUGAGACACGGUCCAGACUCCUACGGGAGGCAGCAGUAGGGAAUCUUCCGCAAUGGGCGAAAGCCUGACGGAGCAACGCCGCGUGAGUGAUGAAGGUCUUCGGAUCGUAAAACUCUGUUAUUAGGGAAGAACAAACGUGUAAGUAACUGUGCACGUCUUGACGGUACCUAAUCAGAAAGCCACGGCUAACUACGUG